GACGAACGCUGGCGGCGUGCCUAAUACAUGCAAGUUGAGCGCUGAAGGUUGGUACUUGUACCAACUGGAUGAGCAGCGAACGGGUGAGUAACGCGUGGGGAAUCUGCCUUUGAGCGGGGGACAACAUUUGGAAACGAAUGCUAAUACUGCAUAAAAACUUUAAACACAAGUUUUAAGUUUGAAAGAUGCAAUUGCAUCACUCAAAGAUGAUCCCGCGUUGUAUUAGCUAGUUGGUGAGGUAAAGGCUCACCAAGGCGAUGAUACAUAGCCGACCUGAGAGGGUGAUCGGCCACAUUGGGACUGAGACACGGCCCAAACUCCUACGGGAGGCAGCAGUAGGGAAUCUUCGGCAAUGGACGAAAGUCUGACCGAGCAACGCCGCGUGAGUGAAGAAGGUUUUCGGAUCGUAAAACUCUGUUGGUAGAGAAGAACGUUGGUGAGAGUGGAAAGCUCAUCAAGUGACGGUAACUAUCCAGAAAGGGACGGCUAACUACGUG
This 497-nucleotide ribosomal RNA is filed under the name uncultured bacterium. RNAcentral describes it as "partial 16S ribosomal RNA". It matches the Rfam family "Bacterial small subunit ribosomal RNA", at positions 28 to 507 of the family's 1533-position model. The record is from RNAcentral.